Molecule: transfer RNA, 63 nt
Filed under: Acanthodactylus boskianus (Bosk's fringe-fingered lizard)
Lineage: Eukaryota; Metazoa; Chordata; Lepidosauria; Squamata; Lacertidae
Description: tRNA-Lys
Source: RNAcentral
CACUAAGAAGCUAAACAGCAUUAGCCUUUUAAGCUAAAGAGGGGGCCUCAGCCCCCUUAGUGA